RNAcentral lists this long non-coding RNA (1002 nucleotides) under Piliocolobus tephrosceles (Ugandan red Colobus). Its description in RNAcentral is "lncRNA (ENSPTEG00000028499.1)". Lineage: Eukaryota; Metazoa; Chordata; Mammalia; Primates; Cercopithecidae. The record is from RNAcentral.
AUGAAUAAAUCAAAAAAAAAUACUACUACCCCCACUGCUAUAGAAAAGGAACAAAUAAAAGUCAGCGACCAGGAAGUAAAAAAAAUAUAUACAGGACAAAACAAAGAUGAGUCUUUUAAUUGUACGAAUGAUUUUGAACAUAAUAAAACACAUGUAUCAGUACAGGGAAAAGGAAGAAAAAGCAAAUAUUCAACUAAUCUUUAUAAUACGUAUAAAUAUUCAUCAACAGAUAAACAACAUGAAGAAGAAAGAUCAUCAACCAUUUAUGAUAAAUAUGAUAAGGAGGAUACAAAACAAUUAAAUGAACCGUGGUAUUAUGAAAAGAAUGAAAACGCAUGGGCUGAUAAAGUUCUACAAAGAAAUGAAGAACUUAUGGAAAAAUGGAGAAAUAAAACAAGACAAAGAAAUAUUGAAAAGGAAAGACAACUUUUUUAUGAAAAACAAAUGAUACUUAAAAAUGAAAUUUUAAAAAGAAGUGUUUUAGGAGAACCUAAAUUAACUGAAGAAGAAAUUAAUGCUUAUCUGUCUAAUGAAAAAAUAACAAAAAACAGUAGUAAUACUGAUACACAAAAUUAUUCAUCGAAUACAAAACAAGAAAUAAAAUUUCCACAAAAAAAUUGUCCGGUAAUACCUAUUAUCAUAAGAACUAAUUAUGUUGGAAUGUUUGAUAUUUUUUUAGACGAAUUUGAAAACUUACAAAAAAAACAUAAUGUUAAAAUAAUGGUUGUUCAUGGUGGUAUAGGUCCUAUCACACCAAAUGAUGUUGUGCAUGCUGAAGUAGAAAGUAAUUAUGGAUAUUGUUGUAUUUAUGCCUUUCAUGUUAAGGUGUUACCAGAUUCUGUAAAACAGGCGGUUCUUUCUAAUAUUGUGAUAAAACAGUUUGAUGUUUUUACAGAUGUUAUAAAUGAUAUUGUUCAAAGAAUCAAAAAUAUAAAAGCAUUAGUUGCGCAUAACAUGUAUGUAAGAAGUCUAAAAACUGAAGGAACACAAGAUGGUAUAUAA